CAAUAGCGUAUACUAAAGUUGUUGCGAUUAAAAAGCUCGUAGUUGGAUCUCAGGCAUGGGCGCACGGUCCGCCUCGCGGCGGUCACUGUGUGUUUUGUUUCCCAUCCUACGCUUCCCGGUUAUCAGCCCAUGGUGCUCUUCACUGAGCGUUUUGGGUGGCCGGAACGUUUACUUUGAAGAAAUUAGAGUGUUCAAAGCAGGCACGUCGCCUGAAUAAUGGUGCAUGGAAUAAUGGAAUAGGACCUCGGUUCUACUUUGCUGGUUUUCGGAACACGAGGUAAUGAUUAAGAGGGACAGACGGGGGCAUCCGUAUUGCGGUGUUAGAGGUGAAAUUCUUGGAUCAUCGCAAGACGAACAACUGCGAAAGCAUUUGCCAAGCAUGUUUUCAUUAG
RNAcentral lists this ribosomal RNA (392 nucleotides) under uncultured eukaryote. RNAcentral's name for it is "partial 18S ribosomal RNA". It matches the Rfam family "Eukaryotic small subunit ribosomal RNA", at positions 592 to 976 of the family's 1831-position model. The record is from RNAcentral.